This 613-nucleotide ribosomal RNA is filed under the name uncultured bacterium. Its description in RNAcentral is "bacterial SSU rRNA". It matches the Rfam family "Bacterial small subunit ribosomal RNA", at positions 92 to 691 of the family's 1533-position model. The record is from RNAcentral.
UGAGCGGCGGACGGGUGAGUAACACGUGGGCAACCUGCCCUGAAGCGGGGGAUAACAUUUGGAAACAGGUGCUAAUACCGCAUAACAACGAAAACCACAUGGUUUUCGUUUCAAAGAUGGUUUCGGCUAUCACUUCAGGAUGGGCCCGCGGUGCAUUAGCUUGUUGGUAGGGUAACGGCCUACCAAGGCAAUGAUGCAUAGCCGAGUUGAGAGACUGAUCGGCCACAAUGGAACUGAGACACGGUCCAUACUCCUACGGGAGGCAGCAGUAGGGAAUCUUCCACAAUGGGCGCAAGCCUGAUGGAGCGACACCGCGUGAGUGAAGAAGGGUUUCGGCUCGUAAAGCUCUGUUGUUGAAGAAGAACGUGCGUGAGAGCAACUGUUCACGCAGUGACGGUAUUCAACCAGAAAGUCACGGCUAACUACGUGCCAGCAGCCGCGGUAAUACGUAGGUGGCAAGCGUUAUCCGGAUUUAUUGGGCGUAAAGCGAGCGCAGGCGGUUGCUUAAGUCUGAUGUGAAAGCCUUCGGCUUAACCGAAGAAGUGCAUCGGAAACUGAGCGACUUGAGUGCAGAAGAGGACAGUGGAUCUCCAUGUGUAGCGGUGGAAUGCGU